Molecule: ribosomal RNA, 270 nt
Filed under: uncultured bacterium
Lineage: Bacteria
Description: partial 16S ribosomal RNA
Rfam family: Bacterial small subunit ribosomal RNA
Source: RNAcentral
AAGAUGGCGACCGGCGCACGGGUGAGUAACACGUAUCCAACCUGCCGAUAACUCUGGAAUAGCCUUUCGAAAGAAAGAUUAAUACCGGAUAGUAUACGAAUAUCGCAUGAUAUUUUUAUUUAAAGAAUUUCGGUUAUCGAUGGGGAUGCGUUCCAUUAGGCAGUUGGUGGGGUAACGGCCCACCAAACCUUCGAUGGAUAGGGGUUCUGAGAGGAAGGUCCCCCACAUUGGAACUGAGACACGGUCCAAACUCCUACGGGAGGCAGCAUG